GAAAGAAGCCCUAAAUGGCUAAAUCUCUCUAUUCCUUCUUUAUCUCGUACUCCUGCUUGAAGCCUCAAAUCUUCGACAGCGUCGACAGCCAUCUUCAUUUUUCAAUUCCCCAAGCCGGUCAUCGGAUGUCCGGUGCUAAAAAACCCACAACCACAAGCCAGGUAUAUUAUUUCUCUAGUCAUUGACUCAUUGUUCUGCUCUUGUUUAUCUUCCAUGUUUACUUCCACGCCAGCACUACUUAAUGCAUUUCUAAUGCAGUCUUACUUCAAAGUUUUUGUAGAAAAAUUUCACAUAAUAUCUCUUCGGGAGCUUAAAAUUUAUCCACGGCCCUAAUUUCUAAAUGUUUGUCCAAUAAACUUUCGGUAAUUUGCUAGAAAAUUAACGGAUCUCAGUUGAUUGAUAAAAUAUCUGAGAGCUGGUUCAGUAUAUAAGAUUCAUCGAUGUUACUAGGAUUUUUACAUGGUUUUCUGAUUGCUGGUUGGAAAUGCAAUUUGACGAAAUUUUUAGGGUUGAAAAUUGAAACACAGAAAUUGGAGAAUAUGUUGGUAUAUUGAUACGUGUCUUGCAGUGGUUGAUUGUAACCUUUUGAAGAACAUUCUGCUAUUCCUUGGAAUCAAAUUUUGGCUGUGGCGCCGGUUAGCUUUAUCCCUUACAAUCAACUUUAGGCUUUAUUCACUAAUGUUUCCUUUUUGUGUUGGUAUUAAUGCAAGUGGAAAUAUAUGUUGUUGUUGUUUGAUAUUUGGAAAUUGGAGUCAGAAGAUAACUUGCAGUCGCAGACUGCACCAUCCUUAAGCAAAUGUAUUCAGGUACAAUGUUCUUCCUUUCUUGUAGACUGUACUGCAUUAAUAAUUGUCUGCAAUGUAAUAUAUGUGUUUGGUUUAUUCAUAAUCAUAAUUUCGGUGAAAUAUAUUGGUAGAUACGGAUGUAUAUAAUGAAUGUGGCACAGAGGUUCCAUCAAAUGACACAGAUUUGCAAAAAAUCCCAUUACACCAACUUUCAAGAUGUUUUUGAAUGACCCUUAAUUGCAAUACAUAUUGAACGGAACAUAUUUGAUGAAGAUGAUUACUUCAUUCUUGGAUAGUACAUUGUACAAGCAUCAAGUCAUGGUUCAAAAAUUUACACAGGUUCUGAAUAAAGUGGCUAGUUUUGGGCUUUUGCAUGUAAAUGUUCUUACUUUCUUCGAUUUUAUGUAAAUUUUAAGAAUAGGAGUAAUCCUUGGCUUCUUCUUCUUCCUCCUGUUGUUUCUGUAGUAACAUCAGGAGUGAGAUUUAGCUAUUUGUUAUUGCAAGAAUAGGAGAAUAAAGAGUCUUUUGCCUUGUUUCAUAAUUUAUGGUAUUCUGAAAAUGGAAAAAUAAUCUGAUCUUAACUUUCAAGUUUUUAAGAUUUUAGGACAAUGUUGUUUCCUAUUUAAGUUCCCAUCAAAAUGGUAAUCCACAUUGCAGUUCUUUUUGCCAUGGAGUCUGCGAAGAAAUCUCCUCAAGCAUCUAUAUGAUGUCUAGGACAAGGUUCCAGGAUCCAUAUUUUUAUUGUAGAAGAAUAUAUUUACCCAUGUUUCAAUUUUUUGUAAUUUUAAAUUGCUGGCUACGAAAAUUUUUCUCAUUCGGUUCCAUUUCCAAGUGUAAAUGAGUGAAACAAUGGGGGGGUAUGAGUUACUUUCCUGUACCACUUAAUAUGAAAUCGACUGGAGUCUCAUUCUCAAAUCAAGCCCUUUACUGUGGUCAUUAUUACUUGAAAUAGUUCACUCACAAAUUUUGUGUGUAAUUUGCAGGGUCUUCAUCUUCUGUUGUGAAUAUUAAAGACCUUGAAUUGACUAAAAUUCUCAAGGCUGCUUACAAUGCUAUUUUCCUUCUCUUGAUGUGUCUUAUUUUGAAUCCAAUUCAGCUAUUCUUCUUCUGCAGCCUCCAACAGUUUCUAACAACAGGUUUUAAUGUUUUUUGCACAACUUGAGGUUUGCCAACAGAUUUUUGCCUCAGUUUUGUAAAUUUGUAAUUAAAUAUGUAAUUGGUAUUGGAUAAUUAUUUUGAUGCAUAUUUGGUGGACUAUACUAUUGUAUAUUUGAAAUUUUUCUAAUAUUGGAAGACUAUAUUAAUGUUG
This 2094-nucleotide long non-coding RNA is filed under the name Olea europaea subsp. europaea. The record is from RNAcentral. Lineage: Eukaryota; Viridiplantae; Streptophyta; Magnoliopsida; Lamiales; Oleaceae.